CAGCCGCCGCGGGAAUACGUAGGGUGCAAGCGUUAUCCGGAAUUAUUGGGCGUAAAGAGCUCGUAGGCGGUUUGUCGCGUCUGCUGUGAAAACUGGAGGCUCAACCUCCAGCCUGCAGUGGGUACGGGCAGACUAGAGUGCGGUAGGGGAGAUUGGAAUUCCUGGUGUAGCGGUGGAAUGCGCAGAUAUCAGGAGGAACACCGAUGGCGAAGGCAGAUCUCUGGGCCGUAACUGACGCUGAGGAGCGAAAGCGUGGGGAGCGAACAGGAUUAGAUACCCGCGUAGUCCCUGUCUCUUAUAC
Molecule: ribosomal RNA, 301 nt
Filed under: uncultured bacterium
Lineage: Bacteria
Description: partial 16S ribosomal RNA
Rfam family: Bacterial small subunit ribosomal RNA
Source: RNAcentral